Molecule: non-coding RNA, 433 nt
Filed under: Solanum lycopersicum (tomato)
Lineage: Eukaryota; Viridiplantae; Streptophyta; Magnoliopsida; Solanales; Solanaceae
Description: Eukaryotic small subunit ribosomal RNA
Rfam family: Eukaryotic small subunit ribosomal RNA
Source: Rfam by way of RNAcentral
UACCUGGUUGAUCCUGCCAGUAGUCAUAUGCUUGUAUAGAAGAUUAAGCCAUGCAUGUGUAAGUAUGAACAAAUUCAGACUGUGAAACUGCGAUGGCUCAUUAAAUCAGUUAUACUUUGUUUGAUGGUAUCUACUACUCGGAUAACCGUACUAAUUCUAGAGCUAAUAGGUGCAACAAACCCCGACUUCUGGAAGGGAUGCAUUUAUUAGAUAAAAGGUCGAUGCGGGCUCUGCCAGUUGCUACGAUGAUUCAUGAUAACUCGACGGAUCGCACGACCAUCGUGCUGGCGACGCAUCAUUCAAAUUUCUGCCCUAUGAACUUUUGAUGAUAGGACAGUGGCCUACCAUGGUGGUGACGGUUGACAGAGAAUUAGGGUUCGAUUCCGGAGGGGGAGCCUGCGAAACGGCUACCACAUCCAAGGAAAGCAGCAGG